This 240-nucleotide unclassified non-coding RNA is filed under the name soil metagenome. Its description in RNAcentral is "partial contains 5.8S ribosomal RNA, internal transcribed spacer 2, and large subunit ribosomal RNA". The record is from RNAcentral.
AAGACUAUAGACCUGCGGAGUACCUGCGGAAGGAUCAUUAACGAAUAUCUAUGGCGUCGGUUGUAGCUGGCUCUUAGGAGCAUUUUGUGCACGCCCGUCAUUCAUAUCAUCUUUCCACCUGUGAACUAUGUGUAGGCCUGGAUACCCCUCGCUUUGGCAACAAGGCGGAUACAAGGAUUGCUGCGUCGCAAGGCCGGCUCUCUUUGAAUUUCCAGGUUCUAUGUCUUUUACACACCCCAU